AGAAGCAAUCAAUCGAGGGAUUCUCUGCUAUCCCACAUUUUCCCCCCCGAGAGUUUUUCUGCCAGUCACGACGAUAUAAAACGACGUGCACUGAUUGCCUUAGUAACUGCGAGUGAAGCGGCAAAAGCUCAAAUUUGAAAUCUGGCGUCUUCGGCGUCCGAGUUGUAAUUUGGAGAGAUUUCUUCGGGGUGAACAUCGGUCCAAGUUCCUUGGAACAGGACGUCACAGAGGGUGAGAAUCCCGUGUCUGACCGGUUGCUUCAUUCCAUGUGAAGAGUCUUCGACGAGUCGAGUUGUUUGGGAAUGCAGCUCAAAAUGGGUGGUAAAUUUCAUCUAAAGCUAAAUAUUGGCGAGAGACCGAUAGCGCACAAGUAGAGUGAUCGAAAGAUGAAAAGCACUUUGAAAAGAGAGUUAAAAAGUACGUGAAAUUGUUGAAAGGGAAGCGCUUGAGACCAGACUCAAUUUGUGGUGAACAUCAGUCCUUCUGGGCUGUGCACUUGCCACUUUUUGGGCCAGCAUCGGUUCUGACCGUGUGAUAAAGGUCCUGGGAAUGUAGCUCCUCUCGGGGAGUGUUAUAGCCCAGGGCGUAAUGACAUGAGUUGGGACCGAGGACCGCGCUUCGGCUAGGAUGCUGGCAUAAUGGUCUUUAGCGACCCGUCUUGAAACACGGACCAAGGAGUCUAACAUCUAUGCGAGUGUUCGGGUGGAAAACCCUUGCGCGUAAUGAAAGUGAACGGAGGUGGGAACCCCUCGGGGUGCACCAUCGACCGAUCCUGAUGUUCUCGGAUGGAUUUGA
Molecule: ribosomal RNA, 795 nt
Filed under: uncultured Ascodesmis
Lineage: Eukaryota; Fungi; Ascomycota; Pezizomycetes; Pezizales; Ascodesmidaceae
Description: eukaryotic LSU rRNA
Rfam family: Eukaryotic large subunit ribosomal RNA
Source: RNAcentral